RNAcentral lists this ribosomal RNA (431 nucleotides) under uncultured bacterium. Its description in RNAcentral is "partial 16S ribosomal RNA". It matches the Rfam family "Bacterial small subunit ribosomal RNA", at positions 29 to 507 of the family's 1533-position model. The record is from RNAcentral.
AACGAACGCUGGCGGCAGGCUUAACACAUGCAAGUCGAACGCCCCGCAAGGGGAGUGGCAGACGGGUGAGUAACGCGUGGGAACAUACCCUUUCCUGCGGAAUAGCUCCGGGAAACUGGAAUUAAUACCGCAUACGCCCUACGGGGGAAAGAUUUAUCGGGGAAGGAUUGGCCCGCGUUGGAUUAGCUAGUUGGUGGGGUAAAGGCCUACCAAGGCGACGAUCCAUAGCUGGUCUGAGAGGAUGAUCAGCCACAUUGGGACUGAGACACGGCCCAAACUCCUACGGGAGGCAGCAGUGGGGAAUAUUGGACAAUGGGCGCAAGCCUGAACCAGCCAUGCCGCGUGAGUGAUGAAGGCCUUAGGGUUGUAAAGCUCUUUCACCGAUGAAGAUAAUGACGGUAGUCGGAGAAGAAGCCCCGGCUAACUUCGUG